GAUGAACGCUAGCGGCAGGCUUAAUACAUGCAAGUCGUACGGGAUCCGAGGUAGCAAUACUUUGGUGAGAGUGGCGCACGGGUGCGUAACACGUAUGCAACCUACCUUUAACCGGGACACAACCUCGAGAAAUUGAGGCUAAUAUCCCAUAACACUGCGAAGUGGCAUCACUUUGCAGUUAAAACUCCGGUGGUUAUUGAUGGGCAUGCGCGACAUUAGCUAGUUGGUGAGGUAACGGCCCACCAAGGCUACGAUGUCUAGGGGUUCUGAGAGGAUUAUCCCCCACACUGGUACUGAGACACGGACCAGACUCCUACGGGAGGCAGCAGUAAGGAAUAUUGGUCAAUGGGCGCAAGCCUGAACCAGCCAUGCCGCGUGAAGGAUGACGGCCCUAUGGGUUGUAAACUUCUUUUGUACGGGAAAAAACCACCGGUCGUGUAUCGGUGCUGAUGUAC
This 455-nucleotide ribosomal RNA is filed under the name uncultured Bacteroidota bacterium. Its description in RNAcentral is "bacterial SSU rRNA". It matches the Rfam family "Bacterial small subunit ribosomal RNA", at positions 28 to 478 of the family's 1533-position model. The record is from RNAcentral. Lineage: Bacteria; Pseudomonadati; Bacteroidota.